UACGGGGGGGGCAAGCGUUGUUCGGAAUUACUGGGCGUAAAGCGCUCGUAGGCGGAUACUUAAGUCAGGGGUGAAGUCCCGGGGCUCAACCCCGGAACUGCCUUUGAUACUGGGUAUCUCGAGUCCGGAAGAGGUGAGUGGAAUUCCGAGUGUAGAGGUGAAAUUCGUAGAUAUUCGGAGGAACACCAGUGGCGAAGGCGGCUCACUGGUCCGGUACUGACGCUGAGGUGCGAAAGCGUGGGGAGCAAACAGG
RNAcentral lists this ribosomal RNA (253 nucleotides) under uncultured bacterium. RNAcentral's name for it is "partial 16S ribosomal RNA". It matches the Rfam family "Bacterial small subunit ribosomal RNA", at positions 524 to 776 of the family's 1533-position model. The record is from RNAcentral.